This 2894-nucleotide ribosomal RNA is filed under the name Escherichia coli. RNAcentral's name for it is "bacterial LSU rRNA". It matches the Rfam family "Bacterial large subunit ribosomal RNA". The record is from RNAcentral. Lineage: Bacteria; Pseudomonadati; Pseudomonadota; Gammaproteobacteria; Enterobacterales; Enterobacteriaceae.
ACUAAGCGUACACGGUGGAUGCCCUGGCAGUCAGAGGCGAUGAAGGACGUGCUAAUCUGCGAUAAGCGUCGGUAAGGUGAUAUGAACCGUUAUAACCGGCGAUUUCCGAAUGGGGAAACCCAGUGUGAUUCGUCACACUAUCAUUAACUGAAUCCAUAGGUUAAUGAGGCGAACCGGGGGAACUGAAACAUCUAAGUACCCCGAGGAAAAGAAAUCAACCGAGAUUCCCCCAGUAGCGGCGAGCGAACGGGGAGCAGCCCAGAGCCUGAAUCAGUGUGUGUGUUAGUGGAAGCGUCUGGAAAGGCGCGCGAUACAGGGUGACAGCCCCGUACACAAAAAUGCACAUGCUGUGAGCUCGAUGAGUAGGGCGGGACACGUGGUAUCCUGUCUGAAUAUGGGGGGACCAUCCUCCAAGGCUAAAUACUCCUGACUGACCGAUAGUGAACCAGUACCGUGAGGGAAAGGCGAAAAGAACCCCGGCGAGGGGAGUGAAAAAGAACCUGAAACCGUGUACGUACAAGCAGUGGGAGCCUCUUUAUGGGGUGACUGCGUACCUUUUGUAUAAUGGGUCAGCGACUUAUAUUCUGUAGCAAGGUUAACCAAAUAGGGGAGCCGAAGGGAAACCGAGUCUUAACUGGGCGUUAAGUUGCAGGGUAUAGACCCGAAACCCGGUGAUCUAGCCAUGGGCAGGUUGAAGGUUGGGUAACACUAACUGGAGGACCGAACCGACUAAUGUUGAAAAAUUAGCGGAUGACUUGUGGCUGGGGGUGAAAGGCCAAUCAAACCGGGAGAUAGCUGGUUCUCCCCGAAAGCUAUUUAGGUAGCGCCUCGUGAAUUCAUCUCCGGGGGUAGAGCACUGUUUCGGCAAGGGGGUCAUCCCGACUUACCAACCCGAUGCAAACUGCGAAUACCGGAGAAUGUUAUCACGGGAGACACACGGCGGGUGCUAACGUCCGUCGUGAAGAGGGAAACAACCCAGACCGCCAGCUAAGGUCCCAAAGUCAUGGUUAAGUGGGAAACGAUGUGGGAAGGCCCAGACAGCCAGGAUGUUGGCUUAGAAGCAGCCAUCAUUUAAAGAAAGCGUAAUAGCUCACUGGUCGAGUCGGCCUGCGCGGAAGAUGUAACGGGGCUAAACCAUGCACCGAAGCUGCGGCAGCGACGCUUAUGCGUUGUUGGGUAGGGGAGCGUUCUGUAAGCCUGCGAAGGUGUACUGUGAGGUAUGCUGGAGGUAUCAGAAGUGCGAAUGCUGACAUAAGUAACGAUAAAGCGGGUGAAAAGCCCGCUCGCCGGAAGACCAAGGGUUCCUGUCCAACGUUAAUCGGGGCAGGGUGAGUCGACCCCUAAGGCGAGGCCGAAAGGCGUAGUCGAUGGGAAACAGGUUAAUAUUCCUGUACUUGGUGUUACUGCGAAGGGGGGACGGAGAAGGCUAUGUUGGCCGGGCGACGGUUGUCCCGGUUUAAGCGUGUAGGCUGGUUUUCCAGGCAAAUCCGGAAAAUCAAGGCUGAGGCGUGAUGACGAGGCACUACGGUGCUGAAGCAACAAAUGCCCUGCUUCCAGGAAAAGCCUCUAAGCAUCAGGUAACAUCAAAUCGUACCCCAAACCGACACAGGUGGUCAGGUAGAGAAUACCAAGGCGCUUGAGAGAACUCGGGUGAAGGAACUAGGCAAAAUGGUGCCGUAACUUCGGGAGAAGGCACGCUGAUAUGUAGGUGAAGCGACUUGCUCGUGGAGCUGAAAUCAGUCGAAGAUACCAGCUGGCUGCAACUGUUUAUUAAAAACACAGCACUGUGCAAACACGAAAGUGGACGUAUACGGUGUGACGCCUGCCCGGUGCCGGAAGGUUAAUUGAUGGGGUUAGCGGCAACGCGAAGCUCUUGAUCGAAGCCCCGGUAAACGGCGGCCGUAACUAUAACGGUCCUAAGGUAGCGAAAUUCCUUGUCGGGUAAGUUCCGACCUGCACGAAUGGCGUAAUGAUGGCCAGGCUGUCUCCACCCGAGACUCAGUGAAAUUGAACUCGCUGUGAAGAUGCAGUGUACCCGCGGCAAGACGGAAAGACCCCGUGAACCUUUACUAUAGCUUGACACUGAACAUUGAGCCUUGAUGUGUAGGAUAGGUGGGAGGCUUUGAAGUGUGGACGCCAGUCUGCAUGGAGCCGACCUUGAAAUACCACCCUUUAAUGUUUGAUGUUCUAACGUUGGCCCCUUAUCGGGGUUGCGGACAGUGUCUGGUGGGUAGUUUGACUGGGGCGGUCUCCUCCUAAAGAGUAACGGAGGAGCACGAAGGUUGGCUAAUCCUGGUCGGACAUCAGGAGGUUAGUGCAAUGGCAUAAGCCAGCUUGACUGCGAGCGUGACGGCGCGAGCAGGUGCGAAAGCAGGUCAUAGUGAUCCGGUGGUUCUGAAUGGAAGGGCCAUCGCUCAACGGAUAAAAGGUACUCCGGGGAUAACAGGCUGAUACCGCCCAAGAGUUCAUAUCGACGGCGGUGUUUGGCACCUCGAUGUCGGCUCAUCACAUCCUGGGGCUGAAGUAGGUCCCAAGGGUAUGGCUGUUCGCCAUUUAAAGUGGUACGCGAGCUGGGUUUAGAACGUCGUGAGACAGUUCGGUCCCUAUCUGCCGUGGGCGCUGGAGAACUGAGGGGGGCUGCUCCUAGUACGAGAGGACCGGAGUGGACGCAUCACUGGUGUUCGGGUUGUCAUGCCAAUGGCACUGCCCGGUAGCUAAAUGCGGAAGAGAUAAGUGCUGAAAGCAUCUAAGCACGAAACUUGCCCCGAGAUGAGUUCUCCCUGACCCUUUAAGGGUCCUGAAGGAACGUUGAAGACGACGACGUUGAUAGGCCGGGUGUGUAAGCGCAGCGAUGCGUUGAGCUAACCGGUACUAAUGAACCGUGAGGCUUAACC